AACUGCGAGUGAAGCGGGAAGAGCUCAAAUUUAAAAUCUGGCGGCUCUGCCGUCCGAGUUGUAGUCUGGAGAAGUGUUAUCCGCGUCGGACCGUGUACAAGUCUCCUGGAAUGGAGCGUCAUAGAGGGUGAGAAUCCCGUCCAUGACACGGACGCCCGAUGCUUUGUGAGGCACUCUCAAAGAGUCGAGUUGUUUGGGAAUGCAGCUCAAAAUGGGUGGUAAAUUCCAUCUAAAGCUAAAUAUUGGCGAGAGACCGAUAGCGAACAAGUACCGUGAGGGAAAGAUGAAAAGCACUUUGGAAAGAGAGUUAAACAGUACGUGAAAUUGUUGAAAGGGAAACGCUUGAAGUCAGUCGCGUCCCGUGGAACUCAGCCUGGCUUCGGCCUGGUGUACUUUCCAUGGGACGGGUCAACAUCAAUUUCGGCCGGUGGAAAAGGGCGAGGGGAAUGUAGCGUCGUUUCGGCGACGUGUUAUAGCCCCUUGUCGUAUACGCUGGCUGGGAUUGAGGACCGCAGCACGCCCUUGUGGCCGGGGUUCGCCCACGUAACGUGCUUAGGAUGUUGGCAUAAUGGCUUUAAGCGACCCGUCUUGAAACACGGACCAAGGAGUCUAACAUGCUUGCGAGUGUUCGGGUGGAAAACCCUUGCGCGUAAUGAAAGUGAAAGUUGGGAGCCUCCGCAAGGGGGUGCACCGACGCCCGGCCCUGACGUUCUCUGACGGUGCUGCGGUAGAGCAGGUAUGUUGGGACCCGAAAGAUGGUGAACUAUGCCUGAAUAGGGCGAAGCCAGAGGAAACUCUGG
This 800-nucleotide ribosomal RNA is filed under the name Tropicoporus tropicalis. RNAcentral's name for it is "partial large subunit ribosomal RNA". It matches the Rfam family "Eukaryotic large subunit ribosomal RNA", at positions 85 to 867 of the family's 3401-position model. Lineage: Eukaryota; Fungi; Basidiomycota; Agaricomycetes; Hymenochaetales; Hymenochaetaceae. RNAcentral also lists the same sequence under 1 other name. The record is from RNAcentral.